GAUGAACGCUGGCGGCGUGCCUAAUACAUGCAAGUCGAGCGAACAGACGAGGAGCUUGCUCCUCUGACGUUAGCGGCGGGCGGGUGAGUAACACGUGGAUAACCUACCUAUAAGACUGGGAUAACUUCGGGAAACCGGAGCUAAUACCGGAUAAUAUAUUGAACCGCAUGGUUCAAUAGUGAAAGACGGUUUUGCUGUCACUUAUAGAUUGAUCCGCGCCGCAUUAGCUAGUUGGUAAGGUAACGGCUUACCAAGGCAACGAUGCGUAGCCGACCUGAGAGGGUGAUCCGCCACACUGGAACUGAGACACGGUCCAGACUCCUACGGGAGGCAGCAGUAGGGACUCUUCCGCAAUGGGCGAAAGCCUGACGGAGCAACGCCGCGUGAGUGAUGAAGGUCUUCGGAUCGUAAAACUCUGUUAUUAGGGAAGAACAAAUGUGUAAGUAACUAUGCACGUCUUGACGGUACCUAAUCAGAAAGCCACGGCUAACUACGUG
This 497-nucleotide ribosomal RNA is filed under the name uncultured bacterium. RNAcentral describes it as "partial 16S ribosomal RNA". It matches the Rfam family "Bacterial small subunit ribosomal RNA", at positions 28 to 507 of the family's 1533-position model. The record is from RNAcentral.